This 493-nucleotide ribosomal RNA is filed under the name uncultured bacterium. RNAcentral's name for it is "partial 16S ribosomal RNA". It matches the Rfam family "Bacterial small subunit ribosomal RNA", at positions 28 to 523 of the family's 1533-position model. The record is from RNAcentral.
GAUAAACGCUGGCGGCGUGCAUAACACAUGCAAGUCGAACGAUGAAGCUUAAAUGAUCUCUUCGGAGUGACUCUAAGUGGAUUAGUGGCGGACGGGUGAGUAACGCGUGAGUAACCUGCCUUGCACAAGGGGAUAGCCGUUGGAAACGACGAAUAAUACCCUAUGAUAUAAACUCUUCGCAUGAAGAGCUUAUCAAAGAUUUAUCGGUGUAAGAUGGACUCGCGUCUGAUUAGCUAGUUGGUGGGGUAACUGCUCACCAAGGCAACGAUCAGUAGCCGGCGUGAGGGAGUGUACGGCCACAUUGGGACUGAGACACGGCCCAGACUCCUACGGGAGGCAGCAGUGGGGAAUUUUGCACAAUGGGGACAACCCUGAUGCAGCGACGCCGCGUGAUUUAGAAGGCCUUCGGGUUGUAAAAAUCUUUUGUAUGGGAAGAAAAUGACAGUACCAUACGAAUAAGGACCGGCUAAUUACGUGCCAGCCGCCGCCGUAA